This 474-nucleotide ribosomal RNA is filed under the name Malacostraca environmental sample. RNAcentral describes it as "bacterial SSU rRNA". It matches the Rfam family "Eukaryotic small subunit ribosomal RNA", at positions 1140 to 1476 of the family's 1831-position model. The record is from RNAcentral. Lineage: Eukaryota; Metazoa; Arthropoda; Malacostraca.
AAACUUAAAGGAAUUGACGGAAGGGCACCACCAGGAGUGGAGCCUGCGGCUUAGUUUGACUCAACACGGGGAAACUUACCAAGGCCAAACAUAGGUGGGAUUGACAGAUUGAGAGCUCUUUCUUGAUUCUUUGGGUGGUGGUGCAUGGCCGUUCUUAGUUGGUGGAGUGAUUUGUCUGGUUAAUUCCGUUAACGAACGAGACCUUAACCUGCUAACGGACCUUAGUGUUUUUCUAGACGGUGUGAUUCGGAGCAAGAGUCCAUGGGCGUAAGCCCCGGUCUCGGACGAUGUCCACUGAUCCUUGGUGCGUUGGUGUUCCGCGUGCCAUCGGAGAGUCGAGUGUUCGCAUUCUUCGCCUCUGUGGAUUUCUCGGUUCAUUGACAAAGCGCCUCGGAGUACGUUUCUUCUUAGAGGGAUUGACGACUUAUAAGUCGUAAGAAACAGGGAGCAAUAACAGGUCUGUGAUGCCCUUAG